Marmota monax (woodchuck) is the source of this 9557-nucleotide long non-coding RNA. RefSeq lists it as uncharacterized. The record is from RefSeq and is a predicted model, not a curated record. NCBI's taxonomy places the organism in Eukaryota, Metazoa, Chordata, Mammalia, Rodentia, Sciuridae. The transcript has 11 exons.
GAUCGUUUUGGAUAUUUGUUAUACAAAUAUUUUUCUUUAGACAUCCUUGAGGGAAGAUUGGAAGAAGCCUGCAUUUCCAGUUAUUCAUGGCUCCAAAUUGAAAUGGCGGGAGUAAUAUUUCUCCAUGAUAUUUUGAGAUGAUGGUGACUGAAUCCUUGCAUAUCAGAAAAGGGGAUUUCUGAUGAAAUAACAGACAGCCUCAUACAAGCCGGUUGUGAACUGUCAUUUCUUGUGGCAGCCUCUUUUAGAUUUGUGGAAAAACCUCCAUGUCUACAUCUGGAAUUGCUCAAAGGUCACUGUAUCCAUUUAUGGACCAAAUCCAGCCUCCUGCUAAGGAUUCCAGACUGAUAUGCAUAUUGUCCUCAUCUGCAACACCCUUGGAAAGCUGUUGAUUAAUGAUGGAUCUGAGAACGCUGUCUGGGCUUGGUGCCAAGGGCUGGUAUUUCACAGCAGCGACCGCCUCACAGACGAGCUGUGGGAAGCAGGAGGGAGACUCUCUCUUAGGGUGCCACUACUAUGGAGACACAGCUGGGCUGAACAAGAUUUGCUUCAAACGACAACAAGAGAGACAGAAAGUAUCUGGUUCAACCGCUGCCCAAGCAGGCAGGCACCAGAAGAGCUAGCAGCCAAUCCGGCCAUGCUCGAAGCCAGCUCUGCAGCUCAGCCAAUCAGUGACAUCACUGCUAGCACCUUUAAUGAUAAACUCUUACACCUUUGGAGGAAUUAGAAGUAGAAUCAGAAAAUGCAAAGGAUCAAUUCCUUUUGUGUUGUGAAUGAGAAGUUUUCUUUGAUUGUGCUCACUCUGGCUCAAGUUCUCCAAAGAUGAAUUCUCCAAUUUCCUUUGUGGAUGAAGAGAUCACCAACUUCUUUAGAGUGAACAGAUCUUCAGGAAUUUUACUGGGAUAAUAGUCCACAUGAAAUUCCAAGCAUUCUUUCCAAAUGUAUAUUGGACCCUCCAUAAGUUUCUUGAAAAAUAAAGUCUUUAAAGUUGCAUACCAUCAAGUGAUAAAGUCUAUCACUACCUCUAUUUGCUGCUAAUGUUACAUCACGAGUGACAGGACUCCAUAGAUUUGAGAAGCAAUAAAACGAGGAACUUAUGUAAGAAAUGUGAUUUUAUGAAAAGACAUUAAGAACUGAAAACAGAUAUCAUAAUAUGCCUGGUGUACUGGAAGAAGUCAACUUAUAUUUGUGGAAAGAAUCAGAAACUUCAUGUUAUAUUUGAAGAUGUUUUCAUCAUAAGAUGAUUUACAUUUCAUCUUCCCAAGUACAGAAGUGUUAAUUUUUCAUUCCUCUGAGCAAAAAGAGGAAUUUUAAUGUUUCAAAAUCAUGUUCUGAUAAUCUUCAUGGCAUACUGUCAUUUCAGAGGAAGGAAAGAGGGACCCUGUUUUUCUGUUUCCCCUCAGAGCACUUAUUAAAUGAUUAGAAUUAAAAUCAAUAUUCUCAUGGCUUUUAUAUUGACAAAAGGUACGACCAAGCUAUUCACUGAGCAAUUCUUUAUGAGGGUUUCUGGAGGUCUGGAACAUGGAGAAAUUUGAUAAACCAUUUUCAUAGUGGAAGUUUAAGUGAUACUCUGAUAAGAAUAUAAGAUGUACCCAGAAUCACACACAUUUAAAAAGAUAUGCAAAAUGACAAAUUUUUCAUGCUGACAAACAUUCUCAUUAUAUAUUCACCGAAAUCUCAUCCCUUAUUUCUCAUUUUAUCCUAUAUACAGUUAUUUGUUUGCUUGCUUGUUUUGAUUUUAGUCAUUAAUGAACAGAAUAUCAGCAAUUUGACUGUUCACUUAAAUUACUUAGUUGAGUAUUGAACCAAAUUUGUUUCUCAACACCAAACACAGCAAGCAUUCUAGAAGACUAACUCUUAACAGAUUGAAUCAAAAGGGGAGGAAAGCAAAGUGGAAUUACCUGGACAAGUUGGACCAUGGAAUAGAGGGGACAGAAAUGAGGCCAUUCUUUUUUCAACAGUGACUUGGAAAAAAAAUAAUUUUGAUGUUUCUGUUCAUAGUUAGAGAUAUCUUGAAAUAUACACAUGAACUUCUUGGCUCAUUUCCUCUUGUGUUAGAGUGUUCCUGCUGUUUUUGCACUCAAGCAGGUUUAAAAAGAGAAAGACUCAUUGUUUUAGUCUGCACCUCAAUUGGGUCAAAGUAUUCUAGGUCUCUGUUUUUCAGAAAGCCUAUUUGGUUAUCUAUCUAAGGGUAAAGAAAUUCUAGAGAAUACUUUCUUUUUUAAAAAAAAUAUUUAUUUUUUAGUUGUAGUUAUACACAAUACCUUUAUUUUAUUUAUUUUUAUGUGGUGCUGAGGAUAAAACCCAGGGCUUCCAACAUGCUAGGCAAGUGCUCUACCACUGAACCAUAACCCCAGCUCAAGAAUUAAUUAAUUUUCACAAAUUCAAGUUAAUAGGACACUCACUGACAGAUAAAGAGAAAACUGUAUUGCAUAAGUGGAAAUAUAUAUUUAUUAGCUUUUCAAAAGAUUUUCUUUCCAGAAUAGGCAAUUUAAGAAACCAUAUUAGUAUUUGUAUGACACUUACAGAUUAUAAAAGUAAAAUAAACAGUAUACCUUAAACCUAAUGAUUAUCACUAGAAUUUCCAGUCAACUGGAAAGGAAUUCUUAAUUUGGUUAGUGGAAAGUUUCCUUCAUACUGGACUAUAUAUUAUCUUCCCCCAAUUUUGUAUUUAUGUAAAUUAAUAGUUUUUACAUAUAAAAUAAAUCAUGGAAAUAUUUGGUAUAGUUCAAAACAAACAAACAAACAAACAAAAAACUGAACAAAGUAAAAUUCCCCCCAAAAAACCAAACUAGUUAAAAGCAAAACAUGUCACUGUUGGACACACAUGUAUGUUUCAAUCCCAUCUUAGUAUAUUUUCUGUUGCUAUGACAAAACACCUGAGGCUGGAAGUGUAUUCCUUUGUGAAUAAGGAUUACUUAUCUUAUUGUUUUGGAGGCUGAAAGUCCAAGAUUGGGUGGGCCCAUUUGUUUGGCUUCUGAUGAGGGCCUUCUGGCUGUGUCAGCACAUGACAGAUAGCAUCACUGUAGGAGUGUGUGCAAGAGGAAGAGACUGGACUAUGAGUGAGGCUUUUUCUUUUUCUAAUAAUUCAUACUUUGAAAAAUUAAGUGUGAUCUUUGGAGAACAACAUUAACUCCUUCAGAGGGUGUGCCCAAUGACUUAACUGCAUUCAAGUAGGCUUCACCUCUUAAAGGUUCUAAUACCCCACACUGGGAACCAAACUUCAAGCACAUGAACCUGUGGAAGAUGUAAACCAUAUGCAAGCCACAGCAUUUCAUUUGUUUAUUCAUUUGUCUGUUUUUGUCUUAGCAAGCAGUAGUUUACCUAGUGUUAUAGUUGGUUUUCUGUUACUGAGUGCAGAAAUGGACUGGCAAUGACUUUCUACUAUUUUUCACCUCUUAUAGGUCCCACCACCUCUUAAUAUUGCCACAUCAGGGACCAAGCUUCUAACACAUGAGCCAUUAGCAUAUAAAGCACAUCCAAACCAUAGCACCCAAAGAAGUUUCAAAGGCAAAAUGAAGUUGAAUUAGAUUACCUAUAAUAUUGGUUCCAGAAUUAGCAGUGUAUGAUUUUACAAAUAUAUGCAAAAGUCCCCAUUCAAUAAUACUAUUUUAUAACCUUUGUGAAUUUUGGUAGGUAGGCUUUCUAUUUUUUUUUCAAUCAACAUAAAUUAAUCGAAGUCUUAUUGUGUGUGCAUUUUUUUUUUUUUUUAGCAAUGAGUGUGCAAAAGUCAUCCCUUUUUACCUUGAGCAACUUAAAAUCAUGCUAGGUAGAACAGACCUAGAAAUAAAAGGGAAACUAAAAAUUGUAAGUUGGUUCUAAGUGUUAAGAAAGUGAAACAAAUGAUAUCCUCUUUAGAAUUUCAGGAUUUAGGUUGUUUUUCCUAUGUGACUUGAAGCAACCAGAGAAAGAUUUUUGGAAGAAAUGUUUUUAAAAAUGGUUCUGAAAGAAGGAGACAGAUAAACAAGCAAAGAAAAAUAUCCUAGAAAAAUGCUUUUCUCUGUUCCUAACUGUAGGAACAUGAGAAAGUAUUCAUUACAGAUGGGGGAAACGGACCCACUAAAGAUUGCCUUUGGACAUCACAGGGCAAAAAGAAAAUUAACAUUCAUUGAAAAAUUGUACUCUGAUCUUAAUAACUGGUUUGAUGAUCAAAUCAAACUGUGUCUCAAAGAAUAAAUAUGUAGCUAUGAUAUAAAACAUUAAGGAAACUUCAGUAUUUGCAUGUUGAUCAGGAGGGUAAAUGCAUACAUAUGUAGUUUUUUUUCCCCAUAUCUCGUAUGCAUUCAUGGGAAGUGUCUAUAAGUGCCUCCUAGGUCUUUCCUGAUAUAGCUGAAAAUGUUCCAGAACUCCUAAUUUCUUGCCCCCCCACUCCUAAAAUCUUGCUUUUCUCUAAUUGUCCUGUCUCAGUAAAUGGCACCAACUUCUGUUAGUACCUGAAGUGUAAAAUCUAGGUGUGAUCUUGGAUCCUUCUUGUUUUUCAACCAACAUUUUCAUCUAAGUCCUGCCAACUUGACUUUCAGCUCUGUCUGGUAUAACCACUUCUCCCAACCUCCAGGACUUGCCACUUUUUCUUGAAACACUGUCAUCAGCUAAAUAGUUUCCUAACUGCCAUUUCUGCUUCUAUUCUUCUUCCCCUAGAAAUAAUCUUCCUCAAAUCAGUUGGAGUUAUUUUUCAAAAAUGUAAAUUCGGUAGAACCCAUUUAUAGUUUCUCAUUAGAGGAACAUUACAACUCCCUACCCUUGCCUACUUGAGCUUGCAUCAUGAGACUUCAGCUUGAAUUUCUGAUUUCAACUCCCACUAUUCAUUCUCCCCUUGAGUAUCCCAUCUUAGUAUGUUGACCUUCAAGAAGUUCCUCUAACAUGCCUUGGUUUGUAGCCUAAGGGCUCUACACUUACUUAUUUUAUCUGCUUGAGAACCUGAACCUUCCUGGCUUUCUUCUUAUUAUAUCAGACCAUCACUAAAACAUCACUUCCUCAGAAAGUGAUUCUAUGAUUUCCCAAUUAAUGCUUCCAACUCAUUACUUUUUUUUCUCUUUAUCUGAAUCUAUUCAUAUCAUAAUACAUACUAAUACCUAAUAGCAAAGACAUUGUUUCUUUAAAAUCCUGGAGAUACAUCCUGAGAAUCUAGGAGAAUGCAGAGCACCAAAGAAAUAGUUGAUAAGUAAUUUUUGAAUGAAUUUAUUAAAUAAAAUGGACAGUACUUUGUGGAACAUUAUCUAAAGGAGUGAGACAUUGUUCUGUUACCAGAAGCAUCUAGAUCACACACGUUUAUACAUGUUUACUUUCUCUACUUGGGGAAAUUACUAAACACCUGAGUUUUCUCCUAAAAAAAUGAGAAUAAUGCUGUCAGGCUGAUUUGUGGAGAGGAGAAGAGAUGAUGAACAUUAAGAACAUAAUCAAUAGUUGGCCAACAGAAAAUGUUCACUGAUCGUACUGAUAUUUUUGAUAGGGAAUGUAAGAGUAAUAAUUCAAUGCCCUAGAUUCCAAUGAGUCUGUUUUAUCAAAGAAGAAUAAAAUAAAAUAAAUCCACCUUUCAACUUACUAUUAGGGACUUUUAGAAUACUCUUGAAUAUUAACCCCUGGGAAAUGAAAUAAGAACCAUGGCUUAAAUAGUUUAAACUCAUAUGGGACAAAACAAUAAAAAAUGUACAAAAAAACAAAACAUUACAUUGGAAAAGAAAUCGAUCCAAUGACUUAAUGCAUCUUUUUAUGAUUUCUAGGGAGAGUGUGCAUGUUUAAUUCAUUGAAUUCUCCACUGUUUCUAUGCUGAAAUUCACUUAGAUGACAAUUGUACUCCUAUCAACAAAAUUGGACUAAAAAAAACCCACUAAGAGUUUCAUUAUUGAAAAAUUUCCCUAUAUAAUAUAUUAAAGCUCAUUGACUAGAUGGAUCCCCACUUGCACUUUGUGUGAAUUAUAAAAGGUGCCCUUUCUUCUUGGCGGAUGAUGCACCCAUCCUUGCAUAUGUAACUGGACUCAUAGCUUGGUCAUCAGAGCCUGGUCUGUAUUGGAGUUUCACUCAUCUCCCUGGCUGGUCUCCCUUUUAUAGGGUACAGCCCAAGCAACCAUAUGCAGUGGUGCUGUAAGUAUUAGAUACUGAAUAAAAGGACAAAACAGGAGUCUGAACAAAGUGAACUGAAUAUUGACAAAGCUCAGCUAUGCCUUUCUUCAACUGAUAACUUGGAACAGCAUGCAGAAUAAAUACGACAUGGUUUCUACAAUGAGAAAAAAAAAUUAUAGUUAUGUCAUAUUUAGCUUUAUUUCACUAAUGAUUAUUGAUCUAAACUCUAAAAAAAUGUAUCCAAGAAACAUGCUUAUCAGUAUUUGAAGACUGAAGUAAUAGCUUGAUAAACUUGCUGCAGUAAGGAAGAAAAGCUGGGAAAUGGAGAUAAUGAUCAGGAGCUGAAUUUGAAUUAUAUGGGUUAAGUGUCCCUUAUUAAAAUUACUUGGGACCAGAAGUCUUUUAAAAUUUUUUUUUUCAAAAUUUGGAACAUGUGCAUAUACAUAAUGCAAUAUCUUGGGGAUGAGACCCAAAUUCUAAACAUAAAAUUCACUUAUGUUUCAUGUAUGCAUUAUAUAUAUAUAUAUAUAGACUGAAGGUAAUUUUGUAAAAUACUUUUAAGAAUUUGUGCACAAAACAAAGCUACAUGGUGUGGAAUUUUCCAUUUGCAUCAUUAUUUUAGCACUCAAAAUUGCAUAUUUUAAAGCAUUUAAGAUUUCAGAUUUCCAGAUUAGGAAUGUUUAACCUUUAUCUGCUUUUUAAAGAAUGUCAUCAGCAUUCAACUUAAUUCUAAUAAUUUUUACUGAGCAUCCACCCCACUGUUGGGCACUGCAAACUGCAGAAAAAUAAAUGCAAACAUUUAGACCUUGUGAAAGCCACGUCUGGGAGCACAAUAUGAAUCUAUGAAUUGCUAUUCCAUAGAUUACAGUAAUAAAAAUAUCAUAAUAACAAAGAAUUCAGGUCCGAGAAAGGAAUCUACAUACUGACAGGUAGACCAGGAGAGAAGCAGAAAUGGGCAAUUUCAUUGGGAGCCUUCAGAAGCUUUAGCAAAGCUAACCGCCUUUAGAGGGCAAGACCCCUCUGUCACCUUAAUGUAAUAUCCCAGUGUUUUGAAUGAGUGAGAGAAAAAAAAAAUAUCUCAAGGGAAACAACAUGAACAAAGACCAGGAUGGAAGGGUCAAGGGUCUCUUUAGGGCACAGUAGACAAUCCACAUUGGAAGGAGUGAAGGGGACACACACAGACAGGAAGGGUGUGAUCCUGGUUGGCAAGAUACAAAAGAGGCAUGAGGUGGACUAGAAUCUAGCUGGGUGUGAUCUUUUUUCUGUAUUUCUAUGUUUUAAGGGUAAUAUAUUUCCUUCUGAAGGCUUUUAAAUAUUGUCAGUUUUAUUAUGCCUAAAGUGGUAUGCCUUACAUAGGAGAAUGGGUCCAGGAGAGUGAGGAGGGAGUUGAGGAGGAUGCUCUUAUGUAGGGCCUUAGAGAAGCAAUGAGGACUUACUGUAAGGUGGAAGUGAAGUUAAUGGAGGUGAAACUGAGCAAGACUUAACAAGUGGGUUAACCAAAAAAAAAAAAAAAAGAGAGAGAGAGAGAGAGAGUUAAAGAGGACUCUGAUAUUUUGUAUGUCAGUAUUUACAAAGAUGGUGAAAUGAUUAACAGAUUUGGUAAAGCUAAAAGAGCUGUUUAGAACUCUAGGAAUUAAUAACGUAUUUUUUUUAUUAAGAGCACCUGGAAACUGGGCUAUAACAUAAGCAAAUUUGCAUUCAGAUUUAUGGUCGAUUCUUAGAUCUUUUACAACUAGUGAAGAUGAUAUUCGUUCUUAUUUGUUUAUUAAACUCCAAGACAUUUUGUAUGGUCAUGUAUUUACACACAUAUUCUUAUUUUAUAUUUUAUAAUGCAGUUUGAUUUGUUGUAAAUAUAAAUGAACUCAUGUUUAAUUAAGAACAAACACAUAACAAUAAAUAAUAACACUUUCAUGCUUAUAUUUGAAUACCUUUCUAUUUUAGAUAUUUUGUAUACAUAUACCCUUUAAAAAUGUACAAUUGCAUUUCUGAUUUUUGAAAACUAUGUAUUUACUUAUUAUGGUGCCAGGGAUUGAACCCAGGACCUCAUGCAUGCUAGGCAAGCACUCUACCUCUAGCCUCCAACUUGUAUCUUGAGAUAAUUAUUAAACCUACAGAAAAGUUACAAAAAGAGUGCAUAGUGUUUCCAUAUAAACUUCGCCCUUCUUUCCUAAUGUCAAUAUAUUAUGUAACCAUAGUCCAGUUAUCAAAACCUAGAAAUUAACACAGGUACUGUUGAUCGAUAUUAAUGCUAUUGGCCUCUCAAUCAUUUUUAUAAAAAAAUGCACAUAUAUAGCAAAAAAAAUUGUAACCUACUGUUUAUAUGCUCUGAAUGCUAUUUUAAGCUUUCAGACAGUGAGAACUAAUAUGAUGGAUUAUACUCUACAGUGUUAGCCAAUGACUAUUAACACAACCUUCUGCAAAUGAUCUCAGUACUUUAUCAUGUUCUCCUUUUGUGUUAUUUAUUUUGGAUUCCAACAAACAAUUUUUACCCAAUAUAGCUGACACAAAUGUUUGUAAGUAAUAGCAAUUGUCAAACACAUACACACACACACACACACACACACAUUUAAAACAUAACAGAGAAAGAGGAUUGCUGUGUGUAAAAUGUGAAUUUCGGUUAUCAAUGGUAACAACAUCAAGGAAAUGGUUAAAAUAGAGGAUAAACAGAUGAGUAGGCAAUUAAGGACUGAUGGAAAUUCUUUGACAUUGUUAAGGAUAUUAUUCAUGUCCCUAGAUUCUGGAAGGAGUGAUCAACAGUUCUGGAAAAGGAACGAGGACUUCCAAAUUCAUUUAUAGAGAAUUUCUGAGAUACUGAGUUUUUGACCUGUUAACCAUCAUUCAACUCUGUUUGGACCUCCAGCCUCAUUUUAGUGUGUUCCUUUGUUAAAUACCCCCAUCCACCCUGUGGCUCAAGCCAAAACCCUAGCUCUCAUCCUUGACACCUCUGUAAUUUCUCAAAUCCAGUUCAUCUAUGAGUACUGCUACUUUUACCUCACAAAUAUAUUUUUAAAUCAUCUCACCCUGUGUUCUUAACUGCUACCAACCCGGAGUAUGGCUUUUUCUCUCACACCAAAACUAUUCCAAUAACACCCCAACUGUUCUGCCUGGAUUUUAUCCUUCUCUUCUCCAACCUCAUCCCCAUAGAGAAAUCAAACUUAACAUUUUCAAGUUAUAACUCUGAUCAUGUCAUUCCCCUCUUAACAUCUUCCAAAGUCUUUUCAUAGCACACAGAUUGGAAACUCUCCUUUAAAAAAGAAAAAGAAAAAGAAAAAAAGGCCCAGAAGUCUCACAUCAAUCAGUUACUACUCAUCUCUCUCAACUUAUUUCUCUUUUCGCCCAGAUGGGAUCCGCUGCAUGCAAGAUGUCCUUGGCCCUAGAAAGAGAAUGUGGAAACUUCUCUUUGCCACUACCUCAGACUUUCAUUCCUCCUCCAGCAUCUUCUUAAAGGCAAUUUGUACUUCACACUAUCCAAGCUGCAAUAGGGAGAAGAAAGGGUA